GACGAACGCUGGCGGCGUGCUUAACACAUGCAAGUCGAACGGAAAGGCCCUGCUCUUGUGGGGUGCUCGAGUGGCGAACGGGUGAGUAACACGUGAGUAACCUGCCCUUGACUUUGGGAUAACUUCAGGAAACUGGGGCUAAUACCGGAUAGGAGCUCCUGCUGCAUGGUGGGGGUUGGAAAGUUUCGGCGGUUGGGGAUGGACUCGCGGCUUAGCAGCUUGUUGGUGGGGUAGUGGCUUACCAAGGCUUUGACGGGUAGCCGGCCUGAGAGGGUGACCGGCCACAUAGGGCCUGAGAUAGGGCCCAGACUGCUACGGGAGGCAGCAGUGGGGAAUAUUGCACAAUGGGCGGCAGCCUGAUACAGCGACGCCGCGUGCUGGAUGUCUGCCUUCGGGUUGUAAACCGCUUUCGCCUGUGACGAAGCGUGAGUGACGGUAACGAGUAAAGAAGCACCGGCUAACUACGUG
This 468-nucleotide ribosomal RNA is filed under the name uncultured bacterium. RNAcentral describes it as "partial 16S ribosomal RNA". It matches the Rfam family "Bacterial small subunit ribosomal RNA", at positions 28 to 507 of the family's 1533-position model. The record is from RNAcentral.